Procambarus clarkii (red swamp crayfish) is the source of this 210-nucleotide non-coding RNA. The record is from RefSeq and is a predicted model, not a curated record. NCBI's taxonomy places the organism in Eukaryota, Metazoa, Arthropoda, Malacostraca, Decapoda, Cambaridae.
UUAAUUAAUCAGGGUCUUUACAUGUUUGAAUUUAGUAAACAUUAUAGUAAACAGUAUCCUCUAUUCUCAACAGAUCAGUUUCUCAAAAUGAUGUUCAAAAGGGGAUAGAGUUAGUAUGUGACUCAAUUAGAACCAAGAAAUCCCACAUAUCCAGUGUAGCAGUUUCAAGCAAAAUGAGAUCACGAUACCGUGCAAAGAUUGAAGCAGACA